This 221-nucleotide unclassified non-coding RNA is filed under the name Escherichia coli ED1a. Its description in RNAcentral is "C0362". The record is from RNAcentral. Lineage: Bacteria; Pseudomonadati; Pseudomonadota; Gammaproteobacteria; Enterobacterales; Enterobacteriaceae.
AGCUUUAAGCUGAAAAUGGCGCUGUAAAAGGCGCCAUUUUUUUAUUGUAGACAACGUGCACUUUGUUCAUGCCGGAUGCGGCGUGAACGCCUUAUCCGGCCUACAAACCGUUCAAAUCCAGGAGCAGUGAACGUGUAGGCCUGAUAGGCGUAGCGCAUCGGGCAAUGUUGCGUUUGUCAUCAGUUUCAAAUGGCGCUUUAUAAGGUGCCAUUUUUUUAUUG